This 234-nucleotide ribosomal RNA is filed under the name uncultured bacterium. RNAcentral describes it as "partial 16S ribosomal RNA". It matches the Rfam family "Bacterial small subunit ribosomal RNA", at positions 109 to 334 of the family's 1533-position model. The record is from RNAcentral.
AGUAAACGCGUGGGUGACGUACCUGUUGGUGGGGAAUAACUGCCCGAAAGGGUGGCUAAUUCCGCAUAAGUCCUUCGGUUCAAUCUGAAGGGGAAAGCUUCUUGUAAAAGAGAGGCGCCGAUGGAGCGGCCCGCGUCCGAUUAGCUGGUUGGUGGGGUAACGGCCUACCAAGGCGACGAUCGGUAGCUGGUCUUAGAGGAUGAUCAGCCAGACUGGGACUGAGACACGGCCCAG